RNAcentral lists this transfer RNA (69 nucleotides) under Oxygymnocypris stewartii. RNAcentral describes it as "tRNA-Ser". Lineage: Eukaryota; Metazoa; Chordata; Actinopteri; Cypriniformes; Cyprinidae. RNAcentral also lists the same sequence under 3 other names. The record is from RNAcentral.
AAGGGAGAACAGAAAAUAGUAAGCACUGCUAAUCCUUACCCUCCCCAGUUAAAAUCCGGGGCUUCCUUG